CCUACGGGAGGCAGCAGUAGGGAAUAUUGCUCAAUGGGGGAAACCCUGAAGCAGCAACGCCGCGUGGAGGAUGACGGUUUUCGGAUUGUAAACUCCUUUUGUUAGAGAAGAUAAUGACGGUAUCUAACGAAUAAGCACCGGCUAACUCCGUGCCAGCAGCCGAGGUAAUACGGAGGGUGCACGCGUUACUCGGAAUCACUGGGCGUAAAGAGCGCGUAGGCGGGAUAGCAAGUCAGAUGUGAAAUCCUAUGGCCUAACCAUAGUACUGCAUUUGACACUGUUAGUCUAGAGUAUGGGAGAGGUAGGUGGAAUUCGUGGUGUAGGGGUAAAAUGCAUAGAGAUCAAGAAGAAUACUCAUUGCGAAGGCGACCUGCUAGAACAUAACUGACGCUGAUGCGCGAAAGCGUGGGGAGCAAACAGGAUUAGAUACCCGAGUAGUC
Molecule: ribosomal RNA, 440 nt
Filed under: uncultured bacterium
Lineage: Bacteria
Description: partial 16S ribosomal RNA
Rfam family: Bacterial small subunit ribosomal RNA
Source: RNAcentral